This 2932-nucleotide ribosomal RNA is filed under the name Klebsiella aerogenes. RNAcentral's name for it is "bacterial LSU rRNA". It matches the Rfam family "Bacterial large subunit ribosomal RNA". The record is from RNAcentral. Lineage: Bacteria; Pseudomonadati; Pseudomonadota; Gammaproteobacteria; Enterobacterales; Enterobacteriaceae.
GGGUUGUGAGGUUAAGCGACUAAGCGUACACGGUGGAUGCCCUGGCAGUCAGAGGCGAUGAAGGACGUGCUAAUCUGCGAAAAGCGUCGGUAAGGUGAUAUGAACCGUUACAGCCGGCGAUGUCCGAAUGGGGAAACCCAGUGCAAUUCGUUGCACUAUCGUUAACUGAAUACAUAGGUUAACGAGGCGAACCGGGGGAACUGAAACAUCUAAGUACCCCGAGGAAAAGAAAUCAACCGAGAUUCCCCCAGUAGCGGCGAGCGAACGGGGAGCAGCCCAGAGUCUGAAUCAGCUUGUGUGUUAGUGGAACGGUCUGGAAAGUCCGACGGUACAGGGUGAUAGUCCCGUACACCAAAAUGCACAGGCUGUGAACUCGAAGAGUAGGGCGGGACACGUGGUAUCCUGUCUGAAUAUGGGGGGACCAUCCUCCAAGGCUAAAUACUCCUGACUGACCGAUAGUGAACCAGUACCGUGAGGGAAAGGCGAAAAGAACCCCGGCGAGGGGAGUGAAAAAGAACCUGAAACCGUGUACGUACAAGCAGUGGGAGCACCUUCGGGUGUGACUGCGUACCUUUUGUAUAAUGGGUCAGCGACUUAUAUUCUGUAGCAAGGUUAACCGUAUAGGGGAGCCGCAGGGAAACCGAGUCUUAACUGGGCGUUAAGUUGCAGGGUAUAGACCCGAAACCCGGUGAUCUAGCCAUGGGCAGGUUGAAGGUUGGGUAACACUAACUGGAGGACCGAACCGACUAAUGUUGAAAAAUUAGCGGAUGACUUGUGGCUGGGGGUGAAAGGCCAAUCAAACCGGGAGAUAGCUGGUUCUCCCCGAAAGCUAUUUAGGUAGCGCCUCGUGAAUUCAUCUUCGGGGGUAGAGCACUGUUUCGGCUAGGGGGUCAUCCCGACUUACCAACCCGAUGCAAACUACGAAUACCGAAGAAUGUUAUCACGGGAGACACACGGCGGGUGCUAACGUCCGUCGUGAAGAGGGAAACAACCCAGACCGCCAGCUAAGGUCCCAAAGUCACAGUUAAGUGGGAAACGAUGUGGGAAGGCACAGACAGCCAGGAUGUUGGCUUAGAAGCAGCCAUCAUUUAAAGAAAGCGUAAUAGCUCACUGGUCGAGUCGGCCUGCGCGGAAGAUGUAACGGGGCUAAACUGUGCACCGAAGCUGCGGCAGCGACACUUAGGUGUUGUUGGGUAGGGGAGCGUUCUGUAAGCCUGCGAAGGUGGCCUGUGAGGGUUGCUGGAGGUAUCAGAAGUGCGAAUGCUGACAUAAGUAACGAUAAUGCGGGUGAAAAGCCCGCACGCCGGAAGACCAAGGGUUCCUGUCCAACGUUAAUCGGGGCAGGGUGAGUCGACCCCUAAGGCGAGGCCGAAAGGCGUAGUCGAUGGGAAACAGGUUAAUAUUCCUGUACUUGGUGUUACUGCGAAGGGGGGACGGAGAAGGCUAUGUUAGCCGGGCGACGGUUGUCCCGGUUUAAGCAUGUAGGCGGAGGUUCCAGGUAAAUCCGGUACCUUUUAACGCUGAGGUGUGAUGACGAGGCACUACGGUGCUGAAGUAACAAAUGCCCUGCUUCCAGGAAAAGCCUCUAAGCAUCAGGUAACAUUGAAUCGUACCCCAAACCGACACAGGUGGUCAGGUAGAGAAUACCAAGGCGCUUGAGAGAACUCGGGUGAAGGAACUAGGCAAAAUGGUGCCGUAACUUCGGGAGAAGGCACGCUGAUAUGUAGGUGAAGCCCCUGCGGGUGGAGCUGAAAUCAGUCGAAGAUACCAGCUGGCUGCAACUGUUUAUUAAAAACACAGCACUGUGCAAACACGAAAGUGGACGUAUACGGUGUGACGCCUGCCCGGUGCCGGAAGGUUAAUUGAUGGGGUUAUCCGUAAGGAGAAGCUCUUGAUCGAAGCCCCGGUAAACGGCGGCCGUAACUAUAACGGUCCUAAGGUAGCGAAAUUCCUUGUCGGGUAAGUUCCGACCUGCACGAAUGGCGUAAUGAUGGCCAGGCUGUCUCCACCCGAGACUCAGUGAAAUUGAACUCGCUGUGAAGAUGCAGUGUACCCGCGGCAAGACGGAAAGACCCCGUGAACCUUUACUAUAGCUUGACACUGAACAUUGAGCCUUGAUGUGUAGGAUAGGUGGGAGGCUUUGAAGCGUGGACGCCAGUCUGCGUGGAGCCAACCUUGAAAUACCACCCUUUAAUGUUUGAUGUUCUAACGUUGGCCCCUUAUCGGGGUUGCGGACAGUGUCUGGUGGGUAGUUUGACUGGGGCGGUCUCCUCCCAAAGAGUAACGGAGGAGCACGAAGGUUAGCUAAUCCUGGUCGGACAUCAGGAGGUUAGUGCAAUGGCAUAAGCUAGCUUGACUGCGAGCGUGACGGCGCGAGCAGGUGCGAAAGCAGGUCAUAGUGAUCCGGUGGUUCUGAAUGGAAGGGCCAUCGCUCAACGGAUAAAAGGUACUCCGGGGAUAACAGGCUGAUACCGCCCAAGAGUUCAUAUCGACGGCGGUGUUUGGCACCUCGAUGUCGGCUCAUCACAUCCUGGGGCUGAAGUAGGUCCCAAGGGUAUGGCUGUUCGCCAUUUAAAGUGGUACGCGAGCUGGGUUUAGAACGUCGUGAGACAGUUCGGUCCCUAUCUGCCGUGGGCGCUGGAGAAUUGAGGGGGGCUGCUCCUAGUACGAGAGGACCGGAGUGGACGCAUCACUGGUGUUCGGGUUGUCAUGCCAAUGGCAUUGCCCGGUAGCUAAAUGCGGAAGAGAUAAGUGCUGAAAGCAUCUAAGCACGAAACUUGCCCCGAGAUGAGUUCUCCCUGAGACUUUAAGUCUCCUGAAGGAACGUUAAAGACGAUGACGUUGAUAGGUCGGGUGUGUAAGCGUAGCGAUACGUUGAGCUAACCGAUACUAAUGAACCGUGAGGCUUAACCUUACAACGCCGAAGGUGUUU